UACGAAGGUGGCAAGCGUUGUUCGGAUUUACUGGGCGUACAGGGAGCGUAGGCGGUUGGAUAAGCCCUCCGUGAAAUCUCCAGGCUUAACCUGGAAAGUGCAGAGGGGACUGUUCAGCUAGAGGAUGGGAGAGGAGCGCGGAAUUCCCGGUGUAGCGGUGAAAUGCGUAGAGAUCGGGAGGAAGGCCGACGGCGUAGGCAGCGCCCUGGACGACACCCGACGCUGAGGCACGAAAGCUGGGGGAGCGAACAGG
Molecule: ribosomal RNA, 253 nt
Filed under: uncultured bacterium
Lineage: Bacteria
Description: partial 16S ribosomal RNA
Rfam family: Bacterial small subunit ribosomal RNA
Source: RNAcentral